CGCGCAUGUGCGCUGGCUUCCGAGGGGACCGGCCCUGGUUCUGGAGGCCCUCCCCACCAACGAGCAGUACGCAUGUGUAGCGCCGAAGCUUCCUGUGAAGUGUGCGUGUCUGACGGAUGACGACUCCACAAGGCGCUGUGGCCCUGGCAGCCUCAUGAGGUUGCGGCUCUGCGGGACCACACCGCCGCGGGAGUGCACGGGCCCCAGCGAGUGAAAUCUGCGGCAGCCCCCGCUGGGCCCGCUGUUCCUGCGCGCGCAGAGGAGCGUAGCCUGCCCCUAGGCCGCGUUCCCGUGAGCUCCAUGCCCACAGUGGCCGAGGCCGGCCACAAGCCCACGGUCCCUUCUGCACGGUCCCUGCCGCGCUGGGGCCACCGUGGAGGCCCGGAGGGCCCUGGGAGGAGGGAGGAGGAGCAGAGGCUUUCGGGAGAACCCAGCCCUUCACCGGCCAGGGGAGGCCGCGAUGCAUCGCGACUGGUUGUGAAGAGCCAGGGGAAGAACUUUACCGUGCAGCAUUGGCAGAGCUGCCACCAAGAAGAACACAGCACGUUGAAGGCACGGUGGCUCCUGAAGCUGCAGCCCUGAGACCUGAUUGUACCAUGGAAGGUGCCGCAGCCCAAUAGGAAGAGACGUGCUUGGUCAACUUAGUUUCUGCCCUCAAGCACCAGAGAGAAAAGGCAGAGAAACCAG
RNAcentral lists this long non-coding RNA (687 nucleotides) under Homo sapiens (human). Its description in RNAcentral is "HSALNT0170657". Lineage: Eukaryota; Metazoa; Chordata; Mammalia; Primates; Hominidae. The record is from RNAcentral.